RNAcentral lists this ribosomal RNA (534 nucleotides) under Methanolinea sp. JGI 0000059-I19. RNAcentral describes it as "bacterial SSU rRNA". It matches the Rfam family "Archaeal small subunit ribosomal RNA", at positions 845 to 1378 of the family's 1478-position model. The record is from RNAcentral. Lineage: Archaea; Methanobacteriati; Methanobacteriota; Methanomicrobia; Methanomicrobiales; Methanoregulaceae.
GUUGUAGAAACUUAAAGGAAUUGGCGGGGGAGCACCACAACGGGUGGAGCCUGCGGUUUAAUUGGACUCAACGCCGGGAAGCUCACCGGAUAAGACAGCUGGAUGAUAGCCGGGCUGAAGACUCUGCUUGACUAGCUGAGAGGAGGUGCAUGGCCGUCGUCAGUUCGUACUGUGAAGCAUCCUGUUAAGUCAGGCAACGAGCGAGACCCACGCCAACAGUUGCCAGCGUGUCCUCCGGGAUGACGGGGACACUGUUGGGACCGCCUCUGCUAAAGAGGAGGAAGGAAUGGGCAACGGUAGGUCAGCAUGCCCCGAAUUAUCCGGGCUACACGCGGGCUACAAUGGUCAGGACAAUGGGUAUCGACACCGAGAGGUGAAGGCAAUCUCCUAAACCUGAUCGUAGUUCGGAUUGUGGGCUGCAACUCGCCCACAUGAAGCUGGAAUCCGUAGUAAUCGCGUUUCAAAAUAGCGCGGUGAAUAUGUCCCUGCUCCUUGCACACACCGCCCGUAUGGUCAUAGCUGUUUACUACAACG